Molecule: non-coding RNA, 28 nt
Filed under: Mus musculus (house mouse)
Lineage: Eukaryota; Metazoa; Chordata; Mammalia; Rodentia; Muridae
Source: RNAcentral
UCUUAAUGGGGGACACAGACUGGUACAG